Molecule: microRNA precursor, 71 nt
Organism: Meriones unguiculatus (Mongolian gerbil)
Lineage: Eukaryota; Metazoa; Chordata; Mammalia; Rodentia; Muridae
Source: Ensembl
GCUGUCUCUUGCUGGCUGAUUUUAAUUCUCUCCUACCGGGAGCAGCAGAGGAUCUGGAGGUGGCUGGACCC